GCCUCAGGUGGGGACUCCUGCGGGCAUGGGGUGGCGGGGAACCACCAUGUGCACCCUUUGCGUAUUUGUGUAGCAGACCUUGCCUGCCACACAGCAACUCCCCUCUACCUCACUUCUUACCAAACCUUGCUUCUGUUCAGGGCAGCCGUGUGCCCAGCUGGAAACGUCCCUUGCAGUUAGAUGUGGCCACUGGACGGAUUCUGGUCUAUGGGGAUUUAAAGCGACGUUUCUCCUCAGAUGCUGUCCCUCUCCCUGCCCCCUGUCCCCCUUUCUUCCUGAUGGCACCUUGAUGGCUGGGGCUGCGUUCUGCAACAUGAGGAAGAGACCGGCGGCAUCGUCUUGCAGAGACCUCAGCUGUGAUGGCCUUGAGCCGUGCAGGGUCCCCCGUGGUCUUCUUGCUGUGAGUAGAGAUCCUCUGGGGACUGACAAAACACACAAGACGCUGGUAAGAUUCAGGCUCAGCAGCUCUGGAGGGGCCUGGGGCUCUGCAUUCCUGAGGGCCUCUUGAGUGAUGCAGACACAGCUGGUUGGGGCCACACUCUGAGGAGCAGGUGUUCAGCCGCCAUUCCAUCAGGUUUCAGCUACGCGCAGCCGGGUGUGACCUGGGGCGGCCAUUCCUUCAGGUUUCAGCUACGCGCAGCCGGGUGUGACCCUGCCCGGGGUGGCCAUUCCAUCAGGUUUCAGCUACGCGCAUCUGGGUGUGGCCCCUGCCCGGGGUGGCUAUUUCAUCAGGUUUCAGCUACGAGCAGCCGGGUGUGACCCUGCCCGGGGCGGCCAUUCCAUCAGGUUUCAGCUACACGCAGCCGGGUGUGACCCUGCAUGGGGCGGCCAUUCCAUCAGGUUUCAGCUACGCGCAGCCGGGUGUGACCCUGCAUGGGGCGGCCAUUCCAUCAGGUUUCAGCUACGAGCAUCUGGGUGUGACCCUGCCCGGGUCGGCCAUUCCUUCAGGUUGCAGCUACGCGCAGCCGGGUGUGACCCUGCCCGGGGCGGCUAUUUCAUCAGGUUUCAGCUACACGCAGCUGGUGACAAUGAGAAUCCAGAGGGCAUUGCUCUGGGAUGUUGUAGUGAAUAAUCAUGGUCGAUUUGCCUCUGAGCACGCGAGAUUCAUCCACAUCACUCAGUUUCUCCCAAGCAUGUUUUCCUGGAGGCUGAGCCCGUGCUGUCGGGAAGGGCCCUCUCUUUGCCGUGCAGAAUUCACAAGCAGGGCUGGAGAUAGGAGCAGGGGCCUGGACCGGAAUCGCAGGGCUGGAGAUAGGAGCGGGGGCCGGACCCGAAUCCUUCAUGAUGGGGUGAGGCCAUCCCCAUGGCACCUCUGCUGUUUGUUCUGCCGCCAGGGUCCACUGAGCACCUGCCAUGCCACACCCUGGGCCAGGAGGUCCAACCUGGCGGAAUGCAAUGGUCAAGGUCUCUGUCCGCCUGCGGCCUCCAUCCUGGGCUGAUGCACUGGGGAAUCAUUUAUUGUCCCAAACUGUGACAGCUGUGGGAAGGAAAGUGUCAGAGUGUGUCAAAGGCUAUGACUCAGGCUGCGGUGCUCUUGGGGGCUUCUCUGGAGGGGACGACCGUCCUGGGUGCAGGUGUGGCUGGAGAGGAGGGAGGUGAGGCCGCCUGGGCCAGUGGCGCUGCCCGCUGAGCUGCGAGGAGGGCGGGCCUUGGUCAGUAGUGGCCACUGGGUCCCAGCCCAGGCGCUGAGGGAGGGGUUGCUUCGUCCCCCCGGCUCUCACCCACCUGUCUCCCACCCCCGUGAUGUGACUCAGCUGCUCACCCUACUAGAGUCUCUUUCCCGUUCCUUUGUUCUGUGUCUGGCCGUGGGAUGGGACACGGGCGGAGGCUGGGAAGGCACCUGCUGGCUCUUCCUGUCACCCUCGCCGAGCGGUGUCUAGGCUCCCCGGUGGAGAAUGAGACACACUCGAGGGAUGGGGGCUCUUCCUCUCACCCUCGCCGAGCAGUGUCUAGGCUCCCCGGUGGAGAAUGAGACACACUCGAGGGAUGGGACAGAGCUGCCUGGUGGCAGCCGAGAGCCAAGCAGCCCUAGACGAGUGAGUGAGUCCCGAGUGACCCCGGCGAGGACAGAAGAGCCACCUGCUGAGCCCAGCCUGACCCCUGACCUGCGGCUUGUGAGCUAAAUACAUACUCGGGUUGAAACCAGAGUUUCCGGGUGAUUUGUUUCUAAGCAUUAUUGCUACAAAGGCAAACUGAUGCAGUGAGGAAGUGUGAAAGGAGGCUGGAGGGGGUGGGGCAGACUCUGCAGGGCCUGGGCCACACGCAGUGAGAGAUCUGGGGCACUGAGCAGUUGGGGCUGGGGUGACGGGUCAGCUGUGACUUCCCUGCGCACUUGGCACUCUGCAGAGGGCUCUGAGAAUCUCUUUUGCCACGAGGAAGAGCCUCAGGGGAGCUCGCUGGGCAGGGGGUGGUCUGGGCUGUGCAUAAGCGGGAUUGACACCAGGCUGGGCUGGCGGGGGCGGGGGGCCCCCCAGGACUCAGGCCUCAGGGGCUGGAGGGGAUGCUCA
This 2507-nucleotide long non-coding RNA is filed under the name Pan troglodytes (chimpanzee). Its description in RNAcentral is "long non-coding RNA NONPTRT004189". Lineage: Eukaryota; Metazoa; Chordata; Mammalia; Primates; Hominidae. The record is from RNAcentral.